AGUUCAUGGGCGCACUCUGAUGCAGCGACGCCGCGUGAGGGAGAAGGCCUUCGGGUUGUAAACCUCUGUCUUCGGGGACGAACGAAUUGGGGUUCCCGAGGGGGAAGCCGGGGCUUACCACGUGCCCACCGCCGCGGUUAUUAUG
This 145-nucleotide ribosomal RNA is filed under the name uncultured Oscillospiraceae bacterium. Its description in RNAcentral is "partial 16S ribosomal RNA". It matches the Rfam family "Bacterial small subunit ribosomal RNA", at positions 365 to 527 of the family's 1533-position model. The record is from RNAcentral. Lineage: Bacteria; Bacillati; Bacillota; Clostridia; Eubacteriales; Oscillospiraceae.